RNAcentral lists this ribosomal RNA (508 nucleotides) under uncultured bacterium. RNAcentral's name for it is "partial 16S ribosomal RNA". It matches the Rfam family "Bacterial small subunit ribosomal RNA", at positions 30 to 523 of the family's 1533-position model. The record is from RNAcentral.
AUUGAACGCUGGCGGCAUGCCUUACACAUGCAAGUCGAACGGCAGCGGGGGAGAAGCUUGCUUUUCCUGCCGGCGGGUGGCGAACGGGUGAGUAAUACAUCGGAACGUGCCCUGUAGUGGGGGAUAACUAGUCGAAAGAUUGGCUAAUACCGCAUACGACCUGAGGGUGAAAGUGGGGGACCGCAAGGCCUCAUGCUAUAGGAGCGGCCGAUGUCUGAUUAGCUAGUUGGUGGGGUAAAGGCCUACCAAGGCGACGAUCAGUAGCUGGUCUGAGAGGACGAUCAGCCACACUGGGACUGAGACACGGCCCAGACUCCUACGGGAGGCAGCAGUGGGGAAUUUUGGACAAUGGGCGAAAGCCUGAUCCAGCAAUGCCGCGUGUGUGAAGAAGGCCUUCGGGUUGUAAAGCACUUUUGUCCGGAAAGAAAUGGCUCUGGUUAAUACCUGGGGUCGAUGACGGUACCGGAAGAAUAAGGACCGGCUAACUACGUGCCAGCAGCCGCCAUAA